Molecule: long non-coding RNA, 2172 nt
Organism: Vigna radiata var. radiata (mung bean)
Lineage: Eukaryota; Viridiplantae; Streptophyta; Magnoliopsida; Fabales; Fabaceae
Exons: 3
Source: RefSeq, a predicted model, not a curated record
UUCUGCUUUCACCAGUCUGUCCAUCUUCAAUCUGGUUGAUUGAUGGAUUGAUUCUGACUUUGAACUUUAAAGGGUGCUUGCUUGAAAGAAGGUGAUUGAUUCUGACUUUGAACUUUAAAGGGUGCUUGCUUGAAAGAAGCAUGCUUGUUGGUUGGGGUGUGACCGUGACAGGGAAGGUGGAAGACGUUGACCAUGACUGCUUGAGACAAUGGAGAAGGGUGGAAUAGUACAGCGCCGCUUUUGAAUGUGUUGAAGCAUUUUUAGCCACGACCCGAGACUCAAUAAUGUUAUCCUUAUUCAAUUGCAUAAGACGCGGACAAGAGUUGCCUGAUUUGAAGAAUUUGCCAGUUUUAGGUUAGUGUCCUUGUGAGAGUUUUGUACAAGAAAAAGAAGCAUCUUUGAUUUUGAGAGUUGCUGCCAGGAUUUUCUCACACACACACAACAGGUUCGCUCAACCAAGAAUACAAAUAUUCUCUCGGUGAAUGGAUAUCUUGCUCAGCGAGCAUGUGCAGUUAAUAGGGAGAUUGUUGACUUUUCACCCAAUGAAUACAUGUAUGCUUACCUAAUGAAAAGUCAAGUUGUAUAAGUGGUUUAUUAGUCGAGAAAGAGAAAAAUAGAGGCAAGUCUGGUUGCGGGAACACGAAGAAACUCAAGAAACCUGUUAGGGAUUACUCCAAGUUCAUCAAGACGUUGUGCUUUUGUCAAAUUUGUAUGUUCUAAAUGGUUAGGAGUAGUUAAAAUCCAUUUUCAUUAGGAUUGGAUAUCAUGUACUCAACUAGAUGUAAUUCUCUUGUACAAUAAAGUCUUUGUUCAUUCAUAUACUUUAUCUAAAUUUUAUGUGUAUGAUGGAAUGUCUUAAUCGAGUGUGUCUAGUCAUUGGAAGGUGAAUUUUAGAACAUAGACAUAGAUAGAGCGACCAAGAGAAUUGGAUCUAGGAAUGGUUUCAAUCUCUUGGUCAUUCUAAACAACAAAAUUUAAUGCAAAUUGUACGUUAAAAGAACUGAGGAAUUAGUAAUUUAAUGUAUGGAUUUAGAACUUAUUCGUAAGGAAUUAGGACUAGUAAACCUUUGUUGUGAAUGUUUGAAUGAGUAGGAGAUAAAUUGUAUAAGGUUGUUUGCAUCAAUUGAUAUAUGAAUUCCAAUUCCAAUGAAGCUUUACCUUUAUCUUAAUCAAAUUUUCUAAGUUCCUGUUGUUACAAUCUAUUUCAUGAUUAUGAACUCAAUCAUUUUCUAUAUGAAAGUUAAAAUGGUUGAAAAUAGUUAAAAUUGUAAGUCUCUUUCUCUGUUCAUUCAUAUAUGUGUGUGUGUGCGCGUGCGCGUGUGCGUGUAGAAAAUAAAAGCAAAAUAAUAAAAAGGGUGCAUGAAUUGAAAAAGAAGGUUGAGCAGUGAAAGAAAUAUGGUGAGGGGUUUACUUUUGUAUAUGGGGAUUUGAGGAUUUACUUGAUUGAUUGAGUCAUUUACUUGUUUUUCUCUUCUCAAGUAAUGAAUUUGAAUCCAUGAAAAAACAUUAUUCUUCUAGCCAAGCCAAGUUUCAACCUUAGAAAGACCUUUUGACCUAAUAAAUUGUGUAUGAAAUGUGAGUUAGAUGAUGUGCAAAAGUUGAUGAAGUUCUAAGAUAUGCUUGUUGUUGAACACAUGUGAGAACAAACACUUAUUUGAUGAGCUUUGAUAAAUCUUUGAUUUGGUUGUUAGUAAUAGAAGACACUGAGGAUAGAAAAGAACAAUAGCGUGGCGACAAUCGGUGAUAACUUAGAAAAUUAUAACAAAUGAUUUGUUAUCAAAGGUUAUGGAGUAAUUUAAUGUUUUGGUUAAUUGGCUUAAUGAAGUCAUAUUGAAAAGGCAAUUAGGAACAGAGAGAACAAAAUUGAGAUUUAGGAAAGGGGAAAGUGAAACUUGAUUGACUCCCUUUGAGGAAGUUUUAGAGCCAUUUGUCAAGGUUAUGAAAUCAUGGUCUCUCUGUAAGGAAAGGGAUGAGAACAAAGAAGCAUCACCAGAGAUGUGAUCAAAAGCACAUGAGUCAAUUACCCAAGAAUUUUGACCUUUCAUGGAUUGCAAGUUAGUUGUUGAUGUACUUGGUGUUUCAAAUGUUUGUGUCAAGCUAUAAAACUUUAACCUUAGAUACUCUUGAUAUUCAUUCUCAAUGAAUUUGGAGUUGGAUGUUUCAACCUUAGAG